This 1254-nucleotide ribosomal RNA is filed under the name Pseudoroseomonas ludipueritiae. Its description in RNAcentral is "partial 23S ribosomal RNA". It matches the Rfam family "Bacterial large subunit ribosomal RNA", at positions 127 to 1439 of the family's 2925-position model. Lineage: Bacteria; Pseudomonadati; Pseudomonadota; Alphaproteobacteria; Acetobacterales; Acetobacteraceae. The record is from RNAcentral.
CCCCUCCUUUAUGGAGAUCCCUGGCUGAAUUCAUAGGCCAUGGAGGCGAACCCGGUGAACUGAAACAUCUCAGUAGCCGGAGGAAAAGACAUCAACAGAGAUUCCCCGAGUAGUGGCGAGCGAAAGGGGACCAGGCCAGUGGCCUGUGUGUGUUCAGCUGAAGAACCUGGAAAGGUUUGCCACAGUGGGUGAUAGCCCCGUAGGCGAAAGGCACACAUGGGUUCUUGAGUAGGGCGGGGCACGUGAAACCCUGUCUGAACGUAGGGGGACCACCCUCUAAGCCUAAAUACUCCUUGGUGACCGAUAGUGCACAAGUACCGUGAGGGAAAGGUGAAAAGCACCCCGACAAGGGGAGUGAAAGAGACCUGAAACCGAGCGCCUACAAGCAGUCGGAGCCCGCAAGGGUGACGGCGUACCUUUUGUAUAAUGGGUCCGCGAGUUUCUGUUUGCAGCAAGCUUAAGCCGUUAGGUGUAGGCGCAGCGAAAGCGAGUCCGAACAGGGCGCUGAGUUGCUGGCAGAAGACCCGAAACCGAGUGAUCUAGCCAUGGCCAGGCUGAAGGUGGGGUAACACCCACUGGAGGGCCGAACCCACGCCUGUUGAAAAAGUCGGGGAUGAGCUGUGGCUAGGGGUGAAAGGCCAAUCAAACUCGGAAAUAGCUGGUUCUCCGCGAAAUCUAUUGAGGUAGAUCGUCGUUCGAUUACCGCCGGAGGUAGAGCACCGGAAGGGCUAGGGGGACCCAAAGUCCUACCAAACCCUACCGAACUCCGAAUGCCGGUGAGUACAGGGCGGCAGACAGACAGUGGGUGCUAAGGUCCAUUGUCGAGAGGGAAACAGCCCAGACCACCAGCUAAGGCCCCCAAAUCGUGGCUAAGUGGGAAAGCAUGUGAGACGGCCAAAACAACCAGGAGGUUGGCUUAGAAGCAGCCAUCCUUUAAAGAAAGCGUAAUAGCUCACUGGUCUAAUAGCUGUUUUGCGGCGAAAAUGUAACGGGGCUCAAGCCACGUGCCGAAGCUGUGGAUGCGUUAGCAAUAACGCGUGGUAGCGGAGCGUUCCGUAAGCCUGCGAAGGGAGACCCGUGAGGGCUCCUGGAGGUAUCGGAAGUGCGAAUGCGGACAUGAGUAGCGACAAAGAGGGUGAGAACCCCUCUCGCCGAAAGUCCAAGGGUUCCUGCGCAAGGCCAAUCCGCGCAGGGUGAGCCGGUCCCUAAGGCGAGGGCGACAGCCGUAGCCGAUGGAAAUCAGGUGAAUAUUCC